This 194-nucleotide ribosomal RNA is filed under the name uncultured Acidobacteriota bacterium. Its description in RNAcentral is "uncultured Acidobacteria bacterium partial 16S ribosomal RNA". It matches the Rfam family "Bacterial small subunit ribosomal RNA", at positions 340 to 539 of the family's 1533-position model. Lineage: Bacteria; Pseudomonadati; Acidobacteriota. The record is from RNAcentral.
UACGGGAGGCAGCAGUCGGGAAUCUUGUGCAAUGGGGGAAACCCUGACGCAGCAACGCCGCGUGAAGGAUGAAGUCUCUAGGGAUGUAAACUUCGCAAAUAUAGGAAGAAUCAAUGACGGUACUAUAUGUAAGCUCCGGCUAACUACGUGCCAGCGACCGCGGUAAUACGGAGGGUGCCAGCCACCGCGGUAAU